AUUGAACGCUGGCGGCAUGCCUUACACAUGCAAGUCGAACGGCAGCAUGAUCUAGCUUGCUAGAUUGAUGGCGAGUGGCGAACGGGUGAGUAAUACAUCGGAACGUGCCCUGUAGUGGGGGAUAACUAGUCGAAAGAUUAGCUAAUACCGCAUACGACCUGAGGGUGAAAGUGGGGGACUGCAAGGCCUCAUGCUAUAGGAGCGGCCGAUGUCUGAUUAGCUAGUUGGUGAGGUAAAGGCUCACCAAGGCGACGAUCAGUAGCUGGUCUGAGAGGACGAUCAGCCACACUGGGACUGAGACACGGCCCAGACUCCUACGGGAGGCAGCAGUGGGGAAUUUUGGACAAUGGGCGAAAGCCUGAUCCAGCAAUGCCGCGUGUGUGAAGAAGGCCUUCGGGUUGUAAAGCACUUUUGUCCGGAAAGAAAUGGCUCUGGUUAAUACCUGGGGUCGAUGACGGUACCGGAAGAAUAAGGACCGGCUAACUACGUG
RNAcentral lists this ribosomal RNA (490 nucleotides) under uncultured bacterium. Its description in RNAcentral is "partial 16S ribosomal RNA". It matches the Rfam family "Bacterial small subunit ribosomal RNA", at positions 30 to 507 of the family's 1533-position model. The record is from RNAcentral.